Molecule: non-coding RNA, 7100 nt
Organism: Rattus norvegicus (Norway rat)
Lineage: Eukaryota; Metazoa; Chordata; Mammalia; Rodentia; Muridae
Source: RefSeq, a predicted model, not a curated record
AUUGUUUACAUUCACCAAUCAGCACAUGCAAGAUUCCUUAAAUAUUAAGUUAAAUCUCAGUGUUAGCAUAUUUUAAUGCUCACUGCAUUGUAUUUUGAAAAUAAACUGUAAGAUAUAUAAUGUUGAGAUUUUAGUCAAUAAUUCCAUUUUUUUAUACACUGCCAUCUUAGUGAAUGUCUUGUUGGUACCUGAGGAACCAUAUCCAGACUCUCAAAGUAUCUCUGUAAUCCUUUGCAGCAUUCUGAGAUACUUUCUUCAAUGGUCCUUCUACUUCCCCACAGAAAUGCCCCCUAUCUAUGAGACAUACUAGCCUGAAAUCACAUUCAUUCUGGAAAUUUUCACAUUAAUUACUAUUAAUACAUUUCAUGAGUAUGUUAGGGAUUAUUGCAUCUCCUGAAUUAUUAAUUUAAACUGUUGAUAAAACUUUAACAUCUCAUAAACUCAGUUUUUGACUUUUCAAAGUUUCAAUGGGACUCCAAGUCCCUUCAGAGCAAAGAGCAAGUGUUGAUUGUGUAAUAAACUUGCUUAGUUGUGUGUGUAUAUUAUAGCUACAGCCCACAGGAAAGUAAAUAAAGAUUAUUUCUAAGAUUCAUAAAACCUAUAGUCAUAAAAAUAUUAAGAUAAGGGCUAGCAAGAUGGUCCUUAGGCUAAGAACACUGCCUAUACAAUCUUGAAGAUCUAAGUUAAAUGCCUGGAAUGCAAGGUUCCCAAGAAGAGAGCAAGUUCUCACAAGUUAUUGUCUGAUCCCCUCCAUAUACAUGAUGUCUCAUGCAUGAGCCUAUCUACACAAGAGACGCCUGGGAAGAUUGCUGGGCGGUUAAAACAUUUGCUAUAUAAGCAUGAAGACGAGAGUUUGGAUCCCCAGAUCCCACAUAAAUGUAGAGCUUGGAGGCCUACCUAUAAUUCUAGUGUUCAGAAGGUAGACACAAGAGAUCAUCAAAGCAAUCUGGCUUCCCUGCCUAUCCAUACUGGUGAGCUUUGUAUUCGAGUAAAUGACUGCCUCAAUUAAUAGUGUAGACAAUGACUAAGAAAGACCCCAGCUAGAUUUUUGCUGUAUAUUUACCUGUAACAUUUAAGCAACAACCUUGGGAAUUGUGUGUUAAAUACUAAAGUGGUCCUGACCAUUUGAGAGUUUAGGGGAGGCUGGGAUGCACUGUCAAUGGGGUUGGGAUUUAAGAUGGGUCUAUGAGUCUGAAUAGUACUAAGACAAAGGAGAAGAAAGAAAGGUGUUUAAGACUGAGAGAAAUGUAUGUGUUCAGAAGACUGUAUAUUGAACACAUAGAAAUUGCAAGACUGAUCUGUUAGGCUGGGUUGUAGAAAACCAUAAACAUUGUAUAAAUGACAGUAUCUUAGAUAUUAGGAAAUUAUUAAAGGAAUUUUUGCUUAUAGUGAUAGCGUGAAAAGGCUGAUUAAAGGAAUUAAUUUGAAAGUUAUGAGAGAGAGUAGUAGAGUUAUUCUGUAAUAAGAAAAUAUAGCUUCUAAAAUUUUUGAAUUUUUAACCCCUCUCUUAAGUUUUAACCCAAAUAAAAUUUAUUAUUUUUGGAAGCAAAUUUAAGGGGAAAAGACUAAAAGGAGUGAAAUUCUACCAAAUGUCAAGCUAUAUUUAGUGGCCAGAACUAGCCAGGAAGGCAUAGCUUUGUGAGACAAAUCAAAUCUCUGGAUUUGCAUUCAAUAAACAAGCUUAGGUAUUAAGUCAGUCAUUUACAUUUAUGAUAGGCAAUAUCCUAAUAAAUAAUUUCCAGCUGUACUGCAUUAUUUGAUAUCACUCCUAUGUUACUACCACUAUAUUAAAUGAAAGUAGUAAAACAAGUCUUAUAUUUUGUUGAUGAACUCUAUGUUUUGUUAUGGAUUUGUCAUUACGUGGGCUUAUGUCAUUUUCACAUCACUUACCAGAUUCAACACAUUAUCAAAGUUGUUGACAUUUCUGUUUCGAGUGCAUUUUAAUGUCAGUUUAUACAUGGAAAAGAAUGAAAAACUCCAACAGGGACAUUGAUAGUUGGAGAAAAGUAGGCCUUCCUCAGAGCUCAAGUGAGCAAGAAAGAAGAGUCCUCAUAAAAUCUGAGACAACUAGACCCAAUGCUCAAGAAAUUGCCUCAGAAAUUAUUUCCUAUAACUUUUAAUUUCUUGUGGGAUACAUGAUAAUUUUCAAAGGUUAAAGGCGAUCAAUGAAGGUAACAUCAGAGAAAAGCCAGCUGACAAUUAACUGGUUUGGAAGCAGAUUGUGUAGUCUCUGAAACACUGCAGAGCAUCUUGACUAUAACUCAAAGUACAAGUCCUGUGCAAGUCCUGUACAGUUAUUUGUCAUAGAGCUCCAAUCUGUUUUAAUAGCAAGGAUUGGUUUGAGGACAUAUGUUCACCAAUGCAUUUGUCCAAUGACUAUUCACUGAGUGACUAAAUUUCAGGCUAUAAACGAUAAAAUAGAACCAUGUAGAAUGAAAGAGAACGUCGAGACCAGAAAGGUGAUGAGGGUCAGAAUGUUUCAUUUUAAGCGUUUGUGGUAGAAAUUCCUUGACUUUUUAUACAGGCUCCAGUGGAAGAAUAGAAGUCCCUCCCCUCUUCUGCCCACAGGCCAGAUCAAAGCAUGCAGAUGAUGCCACCACCUACUUUGCAGUGUGGUUGCAUGGCCAAAUGAAACUGAGCCCAUCAAAGUGAAGUAGGACAUCAAAGCAAUUCUCAAAGUUCAUGACCUGCUUCUGGCUUGAAUGAUCUCUGUUUGGGUAUACAGUGAGAAAGGAGCGAGUGAGACACAAGGAAAUGCAAGGUGGGUACAACUUGAAGACAGAAAAGCACCAGAAAAUUUGCUGUUGGAGCCAAGGCUUAUUCUGAAACUGACAAAGAGAUUAAGAAGAUUCCCGAUUCACACUGGAAUUAAAAGAGGACGCCAAGCUUCCAAAGUAGAAAAGGAAAAGGCCUCAGGAAGUUUCAUACUUUAGAGUCAUGGGUCCUCCUGAGUCUGCUCCACCACAGGGCUCAGUGUGUCACUUGGGGAGUCAGGACAAGGGAGCUGGCAGUGCUUGCCCCACGCUAUUACCAGACAGGUGUUGGGCUGUAGGGCACCGCUCUGGGCGUGAGAAAACACAAUCUGAGGCACAGGACAGCUGGAGCUGGCUUGGGGUCUCCAGGCCUGUAACUGUCUGGUUCUCAGGCUCGUGGGCACCCAGGUGCCACUGGAAGCUGCAGAAGAGCCGAGAAUGGAGGGGAGCCCUACAGGCUGGAUCUGUCUUGGGAAUGGAGGGGAAAGGGAGGAGCUCUAACUGGUCCUGCAGGACUAGUCCUUGGUCUUGGCUUGAUGGUGGUGGGCUUGAGCUUGGUGGUGGUUGUGGCUGGGAGCACAGAGAGGCCUUCUAUGGGAGGACUAGACUGCUGCUGCUCUAUAGGCGAAGACCUUCUCUGUGGCUCCCCUUGGUGGAUCCUGGUAAAAAGAGAGAGUCCGUGGUUUUAAGGCAUUUAUUGUCAGGGCAGAAAGUGCAUGUGUAAAAUCAUACCCCACUUCUCAGGGUGGGCUGAGAUUAAAUACCUUUUGCAGGCAGGAAUGUCUGGGAAGGAAAUCUUAUUGGCUAACUCUCCAGGCCUUUAGGUACCUCAUUAAAAUGGAGAACUGUCUUCAGUCUAUGUGACCACAGGUCACAUUCUCUACAUAUAGAGGGGCUUGGGCCAUUCCCUUAUGUGACUGCUGGCCACAAAUCUAUGGGGGGGAUGCAGCUAGUGACAGAAGCCUGUUGCCCGGAAACAGGUGAAGUGCCUACUGUCCCUUCGGGGUUUCCGGGGUAUCAAGCCUUAGCUCAACUGGAGACCAAGCUACCUUUCACAGUCCCACAUGUACCUCUAAGAAACAACAAAUGAAAGCUGUUGAAACGUGAUUCACGCACGGGUCAGGCAGGUUUGGUGACGUAGGUCACAUGGUUCUGGCUUCAGAAUAGUGGAAGCGUGAAGAGAAUGUAGACUCUCCCUCAAAAGUUAUGGAGACUUAUUGAUGCCAGGCAUGUGGCCGGGGAGUCUCUGUAUUGAGGUCCUGAGAGGCCUUUGCAUGAAGCUGUUAAAAUGAUGCCUGGAUUGUGUUGGGGACUUCAAGAUGUUGGAGAUGUCAGAGCCAUGAGACAGGGAGUAGAAUAUGGUUAUUUUAUUUGGCUUUGACAAUUACUGGGGGGGGAUGUAACUCCUAAUCUACUCUUCUAGCUGCUGGCCUGGCUACCUCCCCAGUGGUGUCCCCCAGAUACUGGCUGGUUCUCUUGGCCUUGUGCUCUUGGUUCCUUGCCCCUCAUGGCAGCUUCCUCCUCUCUCCCAUCUUCUUUCUCCUCAUUCCUCCCCACCCAACCAGGUCAUUCCAAACCCAUCUACCUCCAAUCCUUCUAGUAAUUGGCUGUUGCCAAUUUUAUUUAACCAAGUUUUAAAUCAAGGUACAAGGUUUGCACAACAAAAAGCUUAUAAACUUGAGUAGGCCCAUACCUUCGGGCAGAGAAUUUAGCAAUACAAUGCAUAGCAACAGCCCAAACCUCAACAAAAACCAGUCCAAGAGAAAGAUGUGAUCUGGAAUAAGCAAAUCCAGAAGGGUGAAGUCAUCUAAGCCCUUUGACAUGGGACAUGGAGCUUCAAGGAUUUGGAAUUUGCCCUGGUGGGUCUUGCUUUGGUCUGGUAUUUCCUCACUAUGUCAUCAUUUCUCCCAUUUUGGAAUGAUAAUAUGUAUUCAAUGGCAUUGUAUAUUGAAAGUAUGUGAUUUAGUACUUCAUUUUACAGGAGGUUGCAAUUAAGAGACUACUUUGAGUUCAGAAGAGACUUUGGGCCUUCAAACUGUGUUGAGACUGCGAAAGAUUAUAGAGACUUUUGAAGAUGGAUUAAAUCUAUUUUGCAUUCUAUGGGCACAAACCUAUGGGGUCAGAGAGUGGAAUAGGGUGGUUUGGAUGAGAAGAGUCCCAUAUUGACUUUCAUGUUUAAAUACUCCAUCUACAGUUGGAGGUACUGUUCGGGAAGGAUUAGAAGAUACGGUCUUGUUGGAGGAGAUGUGCUGUGGGGCUGGUCUUCGAGAGCUUCCAGUCAUUCUUAGUAAAGUCUAUUUCCUGUCUGUAAAUUAUAAUGUGAGCUCUCAACUACUGCUCCAGAACCAUGAAUGUCUGCCUGCUGCCAUGUUCCCUACCGUGAUAGUGACAGUCACCUAACUCCCAGGAACUACAAGCUCCAAAUAAGCCAACCUCUAUUGUCUUAAUCAAUGUGACUUUAUCACAGCAAUAGAAAAAUAACUAACACACCAUGUAAAAAUGCUAUGAUGGGAGCAAAGUAGAUUGUUUAAAGGCAGACAAGGAUUGUGUUAGUAAAACAAGGUACUAUAUAACAAAGAUGACAAUAGCCAUGCAUGAUUCAACUUAGCAAUUCUUUCUUCAUAUUAUUACCUUUCUAUUUGUUUUAUGUGUUGAGCAUGCACAUAUGCUUAUGUGUUUAUGUGUUGUGUGUUCACAUGUAGCAGUGUGCAUGCUGUUCUUUUCUUCUACUGUGAUGGUUACGGAGACUGAACUCAGAUCUCAGACGUGGUAAAGGUUACCUUUACCCAUAAGCUGUCCUGUUAGCCCUAAUUUAGUAAUUUCUAUUUGAUCUCUUAGUUAUUAUCAUGCAGAUUCUUAAGCCAAGGUUAUUUGGGAAUUUAAAUUAUCUAGGUUAGUAUUUUUAAACUUUGCAGUGUGCAUGCAAAUGUGUAAUCUCACAUUAAGUGAGGUUAGAAAAAGUAACGUAAAAUACAGGAACAAAAAUGGAGGAAAGACUGAAGGAAAAGCCACCCAGUGUAUCCCAUAUGCAGGCACCAAACCCUGAUUCUAUUCUAUUAAUGAUGCCAUGUUGGGCUGGAAGACAGGAGCCUAACAUGGUUGUCCUCUGAGAGGCUCUAUCAGCAGCUAGCAGAGACAGAUGCAGAUAUUUAAACCAACCAUUGGAUUCCUAUGAAAAAGCUAGGGGAAGGACUAAAGGACCUGAAGGGGAUUUCAACCCCAUAGGAAGAACAACAGUAUCAACUAAACGGACCCCUUAGAACUACCAGAGACUAAGCCACCAGUCAAAGAGCAUACAUGGACUGGUCCAUGGCCCCCACUACAUAUGUAACAGAGGACUGCCUUCUCUGGCCUCAGCGGGAAGUGAUGCUCUUAAUCCUGUAGAAACUUAAUGCCUCAGGGAAGGGGGAUGCUAGUGGGUGAGGUGGAAGUAGGUAAGUAAGUGAGAAGCAAAAGGAAGGGGUAAUGAGUUGAAGAACUCAUGGAGGGGUGACCAGGAAGUUGGGGCAACAUUUGGGAUGUAAAUAAAUAAAAUAAUUAACAAAAAUGAAAGAAAGGGCAACAUGAGAAUUUUAGGAAACAUGCAUUGCCAAACAGUUAUUGAAUAAAUACUUAUAGGUAAACAUGUUUUAGUUCUGCAUGUUAUAUAAACAAGUAAGAGAUGACAAUCACAAAUUCUGAACUACUCUAAAACACGUUUGUCUUAAAAUUAGAAUUUUAAAGGUGCUUUAAUACUUGUCAAAGCCUAUGAGAAAUGUAUAGAUGAGUUAUAUCUAAAGAAAAAAGUGAGGAAUGCCUUUAGUUGAAAUUGUUCAUUGUACUUUGAGAUUAUUCAAGAAAGGAAUUUUGUAAGACCACAUCAUUAUUAUAAUAAAAAUAUUUAUUAUAAAAUAAUCACAUUUCUUUGCAUAUAAACUAAAAACAUAAAUGUAAUUCACACAUUAAUAAGUUAAGUGGGCCUAGGCAUUUAGCAUCCAUCUACUAGAGUUUAAAGUCUCCUGUGGGUUCAUAAAUAAUAGGGAAGGUAUUUUGAUUUAAUUUACACAGUUGAUGCUAUUGAGAUCUUAAAGCUUUUCUCUAUUACUUUACACAUAGCUCGUGGUAUUUGGGCUAAUUAACCAAAUGCCUUAGAUCUUUGGUAAACACAAGUAUUCAUGUGCACAAACGUGUAGCUGAAAUUUCAGUGAAAACAUCAAUAACAAAACAAUGAUACGAGAGAUAACCCAAAUGCCGAGAGUUUGUGUGAUCAAUCAAAGUUAUUGUCCACAACUUUUAUGGAUCACAUCUGAAAUGCAAAACAAAUAGUUGUGGCUCCUGUUGUCACAACCAGAAGCACCUCAGCUCUAA